RNAcentral lists this ribosomal RNA (440 nucleotides) under uncultured bacterium. RNAcentral describes it as "partial 16S ribosomal RNA". It matches the Rfam family "Bacterial small subunit ribosomal RNA", at positions 338 to 795 of the family's 1533-position model. The record is from RNAcentral.
CCUACGGGUGGCAGCAGUGGGGAAUAUUGCACAAUGGGGGAAACCCUGAUGCAGCGACGCCGCGUGAGUGAAGAAGUAAUUCGUUACGUAAAGCUCUAUCAGCAGGGAAGUAAAUGACGGUACCUGAGUAAGAUGCCCCGGCUAACUACGUGCCAGCAGCCGCGGUAAUACGUAGGGGGCCAGCGUUAUCCGGAUUUACUGGGUGUUAAGGGAGCGUAGACGGUGCGCCAAGUCUGGAGUGAAAUGCUGCAGCUUAACUGCGGAACUGCUUUUGAAACUGGCGAACUAGAGUGCGGGAGGGGUAAGCGGAAUUCCUGGUGUAGCGGUGAAAUGCGUAGAUAUUAGGAAGAACACCGAUGGCGAAGGCAGCUUACUGGACCGUAACUGACGUUGAUGCUCGAAAGCGUGGGGAGCAAACAGGAUUAGAUACCCUGGUAGUC